Molecule: long non-coding RNA, 272 nt
Filed under: Scleropages formosus (Asian bonytongue)
Lineage: Eukaryota; Metazoa; Chordata; Actinopteri; Osteoglossiformes; Osteoglossidae
Description: lncRNA (ENSSFOG00015030384.1)
Source: RNAcentral
UCCGGUUCUCUUCCACCUUAUUUCCUUCCUUUAUUAUCGCAGCUGAGCUUCAGCACUCUGUCCUUCGGGCUGUGGGCAGACUCUCAUUCGACAAGCCUUCCCACAUCGUAAAGGUCAGUCAAGAGUCUGUUGUCUUCCCACUUAUUCACUUGCUAAUGACCCACACACCACCCACCAACUCUAAAAGUCUCAAUGAAGUGCAGCUUCUCUUUACUGCUGACUCCUCCAUGCCCUUGUCAUCCUUUUUGUGUAACUUCAACAAUUUUCAGCCU